UGGCUGCUAGUAUUCGGAUUUGCAUCAGGAAAAAGAUGGAGAAGUGUAGUAUGAGUCCAAAGCAACGGGUACUUAGUAGGCAUCAUCGGAUGACUGAGCUCAAUACAGAAAAAGUAUAAUUAAAAUGCGAGGGUGUAAUCUAAGUCAAUAGUAAACGGGGAUAGAAAGGUAAUCAACUACCAAGCUACACAAAUGCGGUAAAGGAAUAAUUAUAAGUGAUACAUAAAAUAAAUAACGCAGUAAUAACAGACAAAUCAAACAUAAUCUAACUAGGCCCCCAUAAACCCGCUAGGAACACGGAAGAAAAUAAUUAAACCAAUCGUACCCCUAUAAGUCGGUGGAACACACAAAAAGUAAUUAAAUAAAUUAAACAUAAAUAAUCCGCAACUGAGUUGAUCCCGAAAAAUCAUAGUAGUCAUCCAGAUAUGCACGGGCCUCGAACCGGCACCAAUAGGUAAUAACGAGAGGCUAGACGUCGGGCUUAAACCGGUAGUGAUGGAUAAUAACAAGAGGUCAUAUGCUGGAUUCGAACCGAAAAUAACGGGUAAUAACGAGAGGCCACAUUUAUGUGAUAUACCACAAAACUCAUAAUCUGAUGUCGGACUCGAACCGAAACUCAGUGAAACCACAACUCAAUAGUAACUAGUAUCAGAACUCCUAAAUCACCAUACCAGAUGUUGAACUCGAACCGAAACUCAUAAUAAUCAAACCCAACUAUAAAAUUCAAAUUAAAAUCAUACCAUAUCCAAUGUCAAAGUGGCACCAAAACUCACAAUCAAUGACAAAAACAAUCAAUGACAGAAAUAAAGUAUAUGUUGAACCUAAAUCAAAACUAAAAUAUAUUUAAUCAACCAUUCACAUAUCUUAAUUAAAAAGGGACAAAUCCAAGGUUUCGCAACAUAAUUUCACGUCUUAAAGUGAUAGAUGUUAUAUCAUAUUGAAAGAUAAGAUACCAAAAUUUACUAGAACGGGAUCCUAACAUGAUAAAUAAGGCAUCGUAUAUAUAUCAAUGGUACACAAAUUACAAGUGCUUGUCCAAAACUAGUGAAAUAGUACACAAUUACCAUAAAUAAGCUCAAUCUUAAAGUAGAAUAAAUCUAACCUAUCUAAACGCCAAAGCUAAAAUGUCUCUGAGAAGCCUUCAAAUAGUAUUCUACUAAGCUUGAAUAACCUGAAGUAGAUAAUUAUUUUCUUCCUCGAAUUGAGCCUAAGAAACCUUAACGAACUGAUAUAUUCUCUUCUUUUUCACGUAAUGGGACUUUUGCUAACUACUCUCAAUGACUCAAUCUCUAUGGAUAAAUGACAAUGUAUUAUAUACCACACUCAGAGACAAAUGUAUCAGAACAUCUCAUGAAUAUAUUUCAGUGUAUUUAAAGAAUGAAUAGGCCAUACCCUCUUUGAACAGCUUGUUGUAACAAUCAGUAGAUUAUUAAAUCUUUUCAGUCGUUAAGAUUCAACAUUUUAUCAUAUCUAAGAUGGCAUAGACAAAUUCUCUAUUGUGUAUUAUCACG
Molecule: long non-coding RNA, 1511 nt
Filed under: Capsicum annuum
Lineage: Eukaryota; Viridiplantae; Streptophyta; Magnoliopsida; Solanales; Solanaceae
Description: long non-coding RNA (CANN_LNC016233)
Source: RNAcentral